AGUGGCGAACGGGUGAGUAACACGUGGGCAACCUGCCCAAAAGAGGGGGAUAACACUUGGAAACAGGUGCUAAUACCGCAUAACCAUAGUUACCGCAUGGUAACUAUGUAAAAGGUGGCUAUGCUACCGCUUUUGGAUGGGCCCGCGGCGCAUUAGCUAGUUGGUGGGGUAAAGGCUUACCAAGGCAAUGAUGCGUAGCCGAACUGAGAGGUUGAUCGGCCACAUUGGGACUGAGACACGGCCCAAACUCCUACGGGAGGCAGCGGUAGGGAAUCUUCCACAAUGGGCGAAAGCCUGAUGGAGCAACGCCGCGUGGGUGAAGAAGGUCUUCGGAUCGUAAAACCCUGUUGUUAGAGAAGAAAGUGCGUGAGAGUAACUGUUCACGUUUCGGCGGUAUCUAACCAGAAAGCCACGGCUAACUACGUGCCAGCAGCCGCGGUAAUACGUAGGUGGCAAGCGUUAUCCGGAUUUAUUGGGCGUAAAGAGAACGCAGGCGGUCUUUUAAGUGAGAUGUGAAAUACUCGGGCUCAACUUGAGUGCUGCAUUUCAAACUGGAAGUCUAGAGUGCAGGAGAGGAGAAUGGAAUUCCUAGUGUAGCGGUGAAAUGCGUAGAGAUUAGGAAGAACACCAGUGGCGAAGGCGAUUCUCUGGACUGUAACUGACGCUNANGCUCGAAAGCGUGGGNAGCAAACAGGAUUAAAUACCCUGNUA
This 711-nucleotide ribosomal RNA is filed under the name uncultured bacterium. Its description in RNAcentral is "bacterial SSU rRNA". It matches the Rfam family "Bacterial small subunit ribosomal RNA", at positions 94 to 792 of the family's 1533-position model. The record is from RNAcentral.